RNAcentral lists this ribosomal RNA (490 nucleotides) under uncultured bacterium. Its description in RNAcentral is "partial 16S ribosomal RNA". It matches the Rfam family "Bacterial small subunit ribosomal RNA", at positions 28 to 507 of the family's 1533-position model. The record is from RNAcentral.
GAUGAACGCUGGCGGCAGGCCUAAUACAUGCAAGUCGAACGGGAUCCAGAUCAAAGCUUGCUUUGGUCUGGUGAGAGUGGCGCACGGGUGCGUAACGCGUGAGCAACCUACCCUUGUCAGGGGGAUAGCCCGGCGAAAGUCGGAUUAAUACCGCAUGACAUCAUUGAGAGGCAUCUUUCGAUGAUCAAAGAUUUAUCGGACAAGGAUGGGCUCGCGUGACAUUAGCUAGUUGGUAAGGUAACGGCUUACCAAGGCUGCGAUGUCUAGGGGCUCUGAGAGGAGAAUCCCCCACACUGGUACUGAGACACGGACCAGACUCCUACGGGAGGCAGCAGUAAGGAAUAUUGGUCAAUGGACGGAAGUCUGAACCAGCCAUGCCGCGUGCAGGAAGACGGCCCUAUGGGUUGUAAACUGCUUUUAUACGGGAACAAACGUCGGUACGUGUACCGGUCUGAGUGUACCGUAAGAAUAAGGAUCGGCUAACUCCGUG